RNAcentral lists this ribosomal RNA (676 nucleotides) under Citrobacter sp. Cpo109. RNAcentral describes it as "bacterial SSU rRNA". It matches the Rfam family "Bacterial small subunit ribosomal RNA", at positions 1 to 666 of the family's 1533-position model. Lineage: Bacteria; Pseudomonadati; Pseudomonadota; Gammaproteobacteria; Enterobacterales; Enterobacteriaceae. The record is from RNAcentral.
AAAUUGAAGAGUUUGAUCAUGGCUCAGAUUGAACGCUGGCGGCAGGCCUAACACAUGCAAGUCGAACGGUAGCACAGAGGAGCUUGCUCCUUGGGUGACGAGUGGCGGACGGGUGAGUAAUGUCUGGGAAACUGCCCGAUGGAGGGGGAUAACUACUGGAAACGGUAGCUAAUACCGCAUAACGUCGCAAGACCAAAGAGGGGGACCUUCGGGCCUCUUGCCAUCGGAUGUGCCCAGAUGGGAUUAGCUAGUAGGUGGGGUAACGGCUCACCUAGGCGACGAUCCCUAGCUGGUCUGAGAGGAUGACCAGCCACACUGGAACUGAGACACGGUCCAGACUCCUACGGGAGGCAGCAGUGGGGAAUAUUGCACAAUGGGCGCAAGCCUGAUGCAGCCAUGCCGCGUGUAUGAAGAAGGCCUUCGGGUUGUAAAGUACUUUCAGCGAGGAGGAAGGUGUUGUGGUUAAUAACCGCAGCAAUUGACGUUACUCGCAGAAGAAGCACCGGCUAACUCCGUGCCAGCAGCCGCGGUAAUACGGAGGGUGCAAGCGUUAAUCGGAAUUACUGGGCGUAAAGCGCACGCAGGCGGUCUGUCAAGUCGGAUGUGAAAUCCCCGGGCUCAACCUGGGAACUGCAUCCGAAACUGGCAGGCUAGAGUCUUGUAGAGGGGGGUAGAA